UAUGUGAUCGUCUCUCGCAUAUCAAUAAGCGGAGGAAAAGAAACUAACAAGGGUUCCCCUAGUAACGGCGAGUGAAGCGGGAAGAGCUCAAAUUUGAAAUCUUAAAGGGUUUCCCUUUACGAAUUGUAGUUUAAAGAAGUGUUUUCUGUUGAGGUUUUGGUAAAAGUUCUUUGGAAUAGGACAUCAUAGAGGGUGAGAAUCCCGUAUUUGACCUUUACUUUCAACUUUGUGAUACACUUUCAAAGAGUCGGAUUGUUUGGGAAUGCAGUCCAAAAUGGGUGGUAAAUUUCAUCUAAAGCUAAAUAUUGGCGAGAGACCGAUAGCGAACAAGUACCGUGAGGGAAAGAUGAAAGGAACUUUGAAAAGAGAGUUAAACAGUACGUGAAAUUGUCAAAAGGGAAGCGUUUGACACCAGUGUUGUUUUUCUGAAAAUCAAUUAAAGAACUGUUUAUGCUAAGCUGUUUAGACUUUAUCAGCUAUCUGUUUAGUUUUGAGCUUUUCUUUAAUGCACUUUUCAGUUAACAAGUCAACAUCAAUUUCUUUUGCUGUAAAAAAGCUUGAGGAAGGUGGCUUGAGAUUCGUCUUAAGUGUUUAUAGCCUCUUGCCUAUGCAGUCGGAGAGAUUGAGGUCUGCAGCGUAGAUCCUUCGGGACUAAAUGCAUUUGUGCUAAGUUAUAGCAUUUUAUAGACAACUUGUUGACUAUGAUUUGUCUUGUAGCUUACUCGCUUAUGUUAUUUUACCUACGCUUAGGAUGUUGACGAGACUGUCGAUCUC
This 774-nucleotide ribosomal RNA is filed under the name uncultured Neocallimastigales. Its description in RNAcentral is "partial large subunit ribosomal RNA". It matches the Rfam family "Eukaryotic large subunit ribosomal RNA", at positions 24 to 647 of the family's 3401-position model. Lineage: Eukaryota; Fungi; Neocallimastigomycota; Neocallimastigomycetes; Neocallimastigales. The record is from RNAcentral.